GCCUACCAGUUCCAGCACACCAGAUGUGGUGAUUUUGGACACGCCGUUGAGCCAAAAGCAGCAAAAGCAUCAAAAUGACAUGACUGACUGUCCCACCACUUCUCUGUCCCAUGCUGAAUCAGAGGCUACUGCUUCACUUUCUGUCUCUGCUGUUAUUGACGCUUUACACCUGAGUGACAUUGACUGGGAUGGUUUAUCCUUUACAUCCUCUCCAAAUCACAGCACUGAGCCCAAGUUAAAUGAAACACCAGACAGUGAUGUCAUGGAAACAGCAAACAAAAACUCAGAGCAGACAACCUCAAGUGAAGCCAAACAGGCCAACCUCAGAUCUGCUCCACAGCUGUGUCACACAGAGUGUUCUCUUAGAGACAGGGUGCUGAUGAAGAAUACAGGCAGAACUGUGAAUCAAGGGAUUUACAAUGUGAUCUCAAAACAGCUGAACUAUGACUCACUCUCCUUAGAACACAACUCAACACCCAGUGGACAGAUGCCUUGUAAAGGCAGCGAUGACAGUAACCUGUCAGGGGAGAAAUCUAUUGUUGACAAAAAAGAACCCCUUACAGCCAAAGAUCAGAGUGUAACUGGUAACUUAGACACUCAGAAUUCAAAUAAGCAGACUAUUUCUGCGGUACAAGGCCAAAGUAAGAUGAAGAAAUCCAACAGCUCCAAAAAGCCUCCUCAGAAGUAUACAUUUGUCAGAUCAGCUGUUUCAUCAUUGCCUGUCCCACCACAGAGGUGCCACUCUGACCCAGCUCAACGUGACAAGGACAUGAGCGCGCCACAGACCACCAAGAAGAGUGUGUGCAUGAGCGUGUGUUCCUCUAGUGAGGACAGUGAUGUGGAAAACCAUCAGUCCAGACCUCACAGAAUAACAAAACUUCAGCCUGUGAAUAAGAUGAAGAGCGGCCUCGUUUCUGACCUCUCCCUGAAACCAGCUGCAAAACCUGCUAAGUUAAGAGGAGCAAGAGUUCAGAGCCACGGGGCAGAGGAUGAAAUCACUAUGCCUGUAUCAACUACAAACAAGGGUCAGGAUGUCCCUCCAGCUAACGUGGAUGGUGACGUGUUCCUUCAGACUCCAGCGUCACCUGUUAUUGAGUUAUAUAGUGAUGAGUCAGUGAUUUGCAGCGAGAGUCCCCUGCCACUGGCUGAGAGACUGAGACUUAAAUUCAUGAAGUGAGCAGCGUGGUUACAGGAUGUGAACAUGUAAACCCCUGAAAAUUUACAUUCUUAUCAAUUUUGUUCUUGUUCUUGUUGUUUUGUUCUUUGUUCUUUCUUUUUUGCAGAAGAGUGGAAACUAUUUGAUUGUGGUCUAAUAAUCAAGUUAUAUUUCAAACAAAC
Long non-coding RNA from Parambassis ranga (Indian glassy fish), 1338 nucleotides. Lineage: Eukaryota; Metazoa; Chordata; Actinopteri; Ambassidae. The record is from Ensembl.